CGCCGGGCUUCGGCCUGGUUAUUCAUAACCCUUUGUUGUCCGACUCUGUUGCCUCCGGGGCGACCCUGCCUUCGGGCGGGGGCUCCGGGUGGACACUUCAAACUCUUGCGUAACUUUGCAGUCUGAGUAAACUUAAUUAAUAAAUUAAAACUUUUAACAACGGAUCUCUUGGUUCUGGCAUCGAUGAAGAACGCAGCGAAAUGCGAUAAGUAAUGUGAAUUGCAGAAUUCAGUGAAUCAUCGAAUCUUUGAACGCACAUUGCGCCCCCUGGUAUUCCGGGGGGCAUGCCUGUUCGAGCGUCAUUUCACCACUCAAGCCUCGCUUGGUAUUGGGCAACGCGGUCCGCCGCGUGCCUCAAAUCGUCCGGCUGGGUCUUCUGUCCCCUAAGCGUUGUGGAAACUAUUCGCUAAAGGGUGUUCGGGAGGCUACGCCGUAAAACAACCCCAUUUCUAAGGUUGACCUCGGAUCAGGUAGGGAUACCCGCUGAACUUAAGCAUAUCAUAGGCCGGGAGGAAA
This 516-nucleotide ribosomal RNA is filed under the name Cladosporium macrocarpum. RNAcentral's name for it is "eukaryotic LSU rRNA". The stretch from base 149 to 302 matches the Rfam family "5.8S ribosomal RNA". Lineage: Eukaryota; Fungi; Ascomycota; Dothideomycetes; Cladosporiales; Cladosporiaceae. The record is from RNAcentral.